RNAcentral lists this ribosomal RNA (441 nucleotides) under uncultured bacterium. Its description in RNAcentral is "bacterial SSU rRNA". It matches the Rfam family "Bacterial small subunit ribosomal RNA", at positions 362 to 793 of the family's 1533-position model. The record is from RNAcentral.
UAUUGCACAAUGGGGGAAACCCUGAUGCAGCCAUGCCGCGUAGUGUGAAGUAAGGACCUUCGGGUUGUAAAGCACUUUCAGUAGGGAGGAAGGUAGUGUAGUUAACACCUGCAUUAUUUGACGUUACCUACAGAAGAAGCACCGGCUAACUCCGUGCCAGCAGCCGCGGUAAUACGGAGGGUGCGAGCGUUAAUCGGAAUUACUGGGCGUAAAGCGCAUGCAGGCGGCCUGUUAAGUCAGAUGUGAAAGCCCGGGGCUUAACCUCGGAAUUGCAUUUGAAACUGGCAGGCUAGAGUCUUGUAGAGGGGGUAGAAUUUCAGGUGUAGCGGUGAAAUGCGUAGAGAUCUGAAGGAAUACCAGUGGCGAAGGCGGCCCCCUGGACAAAGACUGACGCUCAGAUGCGAAAGCGUGGGGAGCAAACAGGAUUAGAUACCCUGGUAG